AGCUUUGCUCAGUGGCAGUAUCGUAGCCAAUGAGGUUUAUCCAAGGCACAAUUAUUGCUAAUUGAAAAAAAAAAAAAAGACUCAUCUAUAUGCUGCCUACAAGAAAUUCAUUUUAGACCUAAA
RNAcentral lists this small nuclear RNA (123 nucleotides) under Zalophus californianus (California sea lion). Its description in RNAcentral is "U4 spliceosomal RNA (ENSZCAG00015004534.1)". It matches the Rfam family "U4 spliceosomal RNA". From Rfam's summary of the family: U4 small nuclear RNA (U4 snRNA) is a component of the major U2-dependent spliceosome. The structure of U4 snRNA from yeast and human has been reported. The record is from RNAcentral. Lineage: Eukaryota; Metazoa; Chordata; Mammalia; Carnivora; Otariidae.